UUACACCUCUCAAGCACAGCUUGGUGUUGGGCGUCUGUCCCUGCGUUGUGCAGUGGACUCGCCUGAAAAGCAUCGGCGUCCGGCGGUUGGUCUUGCGCGUAGCAGAUUGUUCGCACAAGAACCAGGCCGCAGGGCUGUCGCACACGUCUUUUGAUUCUCAGUUUGACCUCGGAUCAGGUAGGGAUACCCGCUGAACUUAA
RNAcentral lists this unclassified non-coding RNA (200 nucleotides) under soil metagenome. Its description in RNAcentral is "partial contains internal transcribed spacer 2 and large subunit ribosomal RNA". The record is from RNAcentral.